UGAAAUGAAUGGGCAUCCAAGUGAGGAAG
This 29-nucleotide non-coding RNA is filed under the name Rattus norvegicus (Norway rat). Lineage: Eukaryota; Metazoa; Chordata; Mammalia; Rodentia; Muridae. The record is from RNAcentral.